RNAcentral lists this long non-coding RNA (1480 nucleotides) under Apteryx owenii (little spotted kiwi). RNAcentral's name for it is "lncRNA (ENSAOWG00000010642.1)". The record is from RNAcentral. Lineage: Eukaryota; Metazoa; Chordata; Aves; Apterygiformes; Apterygidae.
AUGGAUCCCGUCAGCCCAGAACAGCUCUCACCACGCUCCAACCCCACUCGCCUGCCGAGCAUACCGAACUCUCUGCGCACCACUGUGCCCAAAGUCCACUUGUGGGCCUGCUUGCCUGUUUCCCUACAGCUCCAGGGUGCCUGCCUCUGCCAGAGCGAGGGUGCGCACACAGGUCCGGACUGCGGAGGAACCUUGUGUUCAGUGACGCUCCUAGAUUCCUGUUACGCUCGGAUGCUGGCCUCACAGGUGACGACCAAAAUCAACAACUGGACCGCUAGGUCUAGCUGCUUCUCUUCAAGAUGUCCCCCUUCGGUGGACUACCCUGCCAAACAAACCAAGACGACUGACGAGGCCGUGAGGGUAUCAGAUCUUUGGACCGCUUCUCCAAGGCUUUCCGGGGCGUUGACAGAAGUGCUUCUCUUCACAUUACUCAAAGCUACAUUCAUCUAUUACUUAAGACUAAACUAUUUCUGUCUUUAGAGGGGAUUGUUGCUUGCUGAACCUUUACACGUAGUCCCUGACCUGCUACGCAUCCCCUCCAGUCCCUUCCGCUUUCACAACGCUUUCAGUAACUAAAGGUGGUAAUUAUUAAUAGUACCCGUUGUCCUAUGGGCUGCAGGAAGACAUUUCUCCUGCUCUGAGGAGGUGCCUAAGAGCCAUGCUGUUUUCUGUAGCAACCCUGGGGCUUCCCAGAGCCCAUCAGUGUUCUCUUAGGCUUUUCCCAAGCCUUGUAUUUUUUUAGGUUAUUCCUUAGCCUGCAAUUUUAUGUUAAUGUUCUCCUGAAGCAUUGCGCACAGCACGAUUAUCCCACAUCAGUCACAUCUUACACGUACAGAGGGUUCUGAGAGGCAUCUCAGAGGAAAAGGGAGAAAAAUCUGCUCAUCAUCUGUGCACCCACCCAUCAACAUUCUUCACCAAGAAGUGCUGUAAAUUCCCUUUUCGCUAAAGUGGGACCGAGUCAAGGGGGAGACACAGAUCACCUCCCAUAUUUAUUAAAACACCUCACUGCUGCGGGCACUGGCUCUGGGAGUGGUUGUAGGACUGUUUGGGGCUUCGGGACAGAGUUUAGGGGGAAGGUCUGGAGCCAGUGACAACGUUGCGGCAGGGUUUGGAGGCCUUUGGGGGGUCUGUGGGGGUGUGGGGGCAGCAUUUGUGGGUGGUUUAAUGGCUUUGGGGGGGCUGGUUGCAGGAAGGGUGGGAAUCUGCAGGGCCCUCAGGGCGGGGCGGGGCCAUCCCAGACGCGCAGUGAGUGCAUAGGGGUGCCGCAUGUCGCUGUCAGCUUUACAGGAGGAGCCACCGGUCUCCCACUCCACCAGAGACGAGGAGGAGGAGGAGGAGGAGGAGGAGGAGGAGGAGGGAUCUAUGAGCUUGCAGAGAACGCCAGAAGAGGCAGCAGGGGACUCCGCAAGGGCUCCAUAUCCUGCAAAGAGCUGUGAAGGACCCCGUGUCCCAGACAAGAGGAGGCAUCAGGCUGCUGGGC